GGGGCCCAGAGCUGGACACAGCACUCCAGGGAUGGUCUCACCAAUGCUCAGUACAGGGGAGGAAUCACUUCCCUGCUCCUGCUACCAUGCUGUUCCUGAUCCAAGCCAGGAACCAUUGGCCUUCUUGGCCACCUGGGCACAUGCUGGCUCAUGUUCAGUUUCCUGUAAAUCCAAACUCC
Molecule: long non-coding RNA, 179 nt
Organism: Chiroxiphia lanceolata (lance-tailed manakin)
Lineage: Eukaryota; Metazoa; Chordata; Aves; Passeriformes; Pipridae
Exons: 3
Source: RefSeq, a predicted model, not a curated record